This 76-nucleotide transfer RNA is filed under the name Bacillota bacterium. Its description in RNAcentral is "tRNA-Lys". It matches the Rfam family "tRNA". From Rfam's summary of the family: Transfer RNA (tRNA) molecules are approximately 80 nucleotides in length. Their secondary structure includes four short double-helical elements and three loops (D, anti-codon, and T loops). Lineage: Bacteria; Bacillati; Bacillota. The record is from RNAcentral.
GUCCCGUUAGCUCAGCAGGUAGAGCAUUUGACUUUUAAUCAAAGGGUCCCGAGUUCGAAUCUCGGGCGGGACACCA